UGGGGAAUAUUGCACAAUGGAGGGAACUCUGAUGCAGCGACGCCGCGUGAACGAAGAAGGCUUUCGAGUCGUAAAGUUCUUUUAUAUGGGAAGAUAAUGACGGUACCAUAAGAAAAAGCCCCGGCUAACUACGUGCCAGCAGCCGCGGUAAUACGUAGGGGGCUAGCGUUGUCCGGAAUCACUGGGCGUAAAUGGUUCGCAGGCGGAAAUGCAAGUCAGGUGUAAAAGGCAGUAGCUUAACUACUGUAAGCAUUUGAAACUGCAUAUCUUGAGAAGAGUAGAGGUAAGUGGAAUUUUUAGUGUAGCGGUGAAAUGCGUAGAUAUUAAAAAGAAUACCGGUGGCGAAGGCGACUUACUGGACUCAUUCUGACGCUGAGGAACGAAAGCGUGGGUAGCAAACAGG
This 403-nucleotide ribosomal RNA is filed under the name Verrucomicrobiota bacterium. Its description in RNAcentral is "Verrucomicrobia bacterium partial 16S ribosomal RNA". It matches the Rfam family "Bacterial small subunit ribosomal RNA", at positions 355 to 776 of the family's 1533-position model. Lineage: Bacteria; Pseudomonadati; Verrucomicrobiota. The record is from RNAcentral.